RNAcentral lists this ribosomal RNA (444 nucleotides) under uncultured bacterium. Its description in RNAcentral is "partial 16S ribosomal RNA". It matches the Rfam family "Bacterial small subunit ribosomal RNA", at positions 354 to 796 of the family's 1533-position model. The record is from RNAcentral.
GUAGGGAAUAUUGGGCAAUGGUCGGAAGACUGACCCAGCCAUGUCGCGUGCAGGAAGACGGCCCUCUGGGUUGUAAACUGCUUUUAUCUGGGAAGAAAAAGGCCAUGCGUGGCAAAUUGCCGGUACCAGAUGAAUAAGCACCGGCUAACUCCGUGCCAGCAGCCGCGGUAAUACGGAGGGUGCGAGCGUUGUCCGGAUUUAUUGGGUUUAAAGGGUGCGUAGGCGGCUGAUUAAGUCAGCGGUGAAAGACUUCGGCUUAACCGGAGCAGUGCCGUUGAUACUGGUUGGCUUGAGUGUCGGAGGGGUACAUGGAAUUGAUGGUGUAGCGGUGAAAUGCAUAGAUACCAUCAGGAACACCGAUAGCGAAGGCAUUGUACUGGCCGACAACUGACGCUGAUGCACGAAAGUGUGGGGAUCGAACAGGAUUAGAUACCCCUGUAGUCC